Chelonoidis abingdonii (Abingdon island giant tortoise) is the source of this 1376-nucleotide non-coding RNA. The record is from RefSeq and is a predicted model, not a curated record. Lineage: Eukaryota; Metazoa; Chordata; Testudines; Testudinidae.
CAGCCCCUGCCGGGCCUCUCGCAGCCCCCGCGUCCCGUUCUCCGCGGCCCAGAUCAGCAUCCUGGAGGGCAGCUACCGGCAGACACGCUACCUGAGCAGCGGGCAGGUGGGGGAGAUGGCGGCACUGCUGGGGCUCAGCGAGACCCAGGUGAAAAUCUGGUUCCAGAACCGGCGGGCACGGGAAAGGCGGGACUUCUUGAAGGCGCAGCCAACCAGCAGCAAUGCCCUGGAGGGGGCCGAGCCGGCCCAUGCUGCCCCCCUCGGACGGGCGCCAAUGCCAGGGCCGGGGAGCGCCAAGAUGCUGCCCCCUUGAGCUACCGCAGCCUUGGGCAUCUGAUCACAACGGGGCCAUUUGAGUUGCCAUUUGGGGGGGCCCCCAGAUUGGGGGUGAUGGUCCCCCUAUGGGCUGUGCACCUCCUCCACCUUGUUGUUACAGGGCACCCAUCAAACUCCAGCCCCACCCCCAACUGCAAACCGGUCCCCUUCCCACCCCAAAUCUUCAGCCAGAAUUUGACUCCCCGGCCGGGAUGUGAACCCCAAACUCUGACUGAACUCGGGGGGCAGGGGCAGGACUGACACCCACAGACACAGGAGUCGUCCGGCCCGGCUGCUUGGUGCCUCCUGUGUGCAGUGAAUUGGGGGGUGGGUCUCAGCCUGGCCUCUUCACCCAACUCUCUUUCAAAACCAACCGCACAUUUAGCACUCCAGGCCAGGGCUUCCCGUUGGCCCACCCUAGGGUCCCUCUACCCUGGAGCGCCCCCUGCUGGGCCCUGUGCCCAGCGUUGACCCGAACCUCCGUUCAAGUACAACAGAUGACUGUGCAGAACAUCUGUGGGGGCGGGGAGAGGGAGGCAGAAUGUCCCCCCCCACCCCGAUCUCUGCCUUGUCAAUAUCACAGCUCUGCGUCCGAAAUUGACAAGAAAACCGUUCACUGCUCGGGCUGUCACCCCGCAGCAGGUGGAAGGCUCCAGCUAGAGUCUGGCUGCCUCCCGGGUUCCCAGCUCCCAGCAGGGCUGUGCCUGCCCAGCUCCCCACUCCCCCAUCAGGGGCCUGGGUGCUGCCCGGACUCUCGGCUCCCCACUGGAAGCCCGGCAGGUGCCCAGCACAGAGCUUAUUACAGCAGUUGGUAACCCACCAACCCGUUUGUGUCCUGUGACUGCAGGGGCGUUAACGGGCCAUGCUGCCUUGAAUGGGCCCUUGAAAUCUGUGUUCACGCCUUACACUAAACCGUCUGGUCUCCCGUGUAUGUAGCUGGGACGCUCUGAGCCGCUUUCCCAGCCCUGGAGAAGAGCUCGGUGUGGCUUCAAAGCUCGACUCUCUCACCAACAGAGGUUGGACCAAUAAAAGAUAUUACUCACCCGACCUUGUCACUCUAG